RNAcentral lists this small RNA (594 nucleotides) under Drosophila ananassae. RNAcentral describes it as "GF27443". The record is from RNAcentral. Lineage: Eukaryota; Metazoa; Arthropoda; Insecta; Diptera; Drosophilidae.
GGUUGGUAGUCGCAGCGCACUGCAAAAUCCGAUUCAGUUUUGGCCAGAAGAAGUGUCUCUGGCUAGAACAAGAAGAGGAGAACUUUGAAAACGGGCGCGAACAAGUGAGCAGCAGCCGAGUGAAGUAGCCAGCCGAGCCAAAGGAGAGUGCAAAUGAAAAAGUGAAAACAAAUUGUUUAAAUUAAAGAUUCAAACCAAAAAGCGAAAUACAGAACGUGAAUCAAUCAGUUGAAAUAAAUUGUGGAACUGGCAUGACGGAUAUCCGACUGAGAUUGCAAAUUUACGAAAAGUUGAAUCGAGAAGGAUAAACUUUCGGUUCGGACCGCUAUGCACAGGACCCGUGCGGGUCCGCCGACCGAGUGCGGCCACAGAUAGAAUACACAGAUACAUUCGCCAGAUACUAGAUACCAGAUACCAGCUAUCCAGAUACAAGCACAUUCACACAAAUAUCUAGUGGAUUUGAACAUGUGCCAAAAGUGCGGGCUGCUUGGAGCUGAUUCUGGUAUAACCGCGACGAGGGCGACGAUGCUGCUUGAUUUUGGCCAAGUUAAAUAAACAAGCCAAUCCACAGCGCACACACCCACACCCACACCG